AGAGUUUGAUCAUGGCUCAGAAUCAACGCUGGCGGCGCGCCUAACACAUGCAAGUCGCACGAGAAAGCGGGAGCAAUCUCGCAAGUACAGUGGCGUACGGGUGAGUAACACGUGGAUCAUCUGCCCUGGAGUGGGGAAUAACGCUGGGAAACCGGCGCUAAUACCGCAUAUUCCCGAGAGGGGAAAGCAGCAAUGCGCUCGAGGAGGAGUCCGCGGCCGAUUAGCUAGUUGGUAGGGUAAAAGCCUACCAAGGCUGUGAUCGGUAGCCGGCCUGAGAGGGCACACGGCCACACUGGCACUGAAACACGGGCCAGACUCCUACGGGAGGCAGCAGUGGGGAAUCUUGCACAAUGGGGGAAACCCUGAUGCAGCGACGCCGCGUGAGCGAUGAAGCCCUUCGGGGUGUAAAGCUCUUUCGGCAGGGAAGAUUAUGACGGUACCUGCAGAAGCAGCUGCGGCUAACUACGUGCCAGCAGCCGCGGUAAUACGUAGGCAGCAAGCGUUGUUCGGAGUUACUGGGCGUAAAGGGUGUGUAGGCGGCCUGUUAAGUUCCGUGUGAAAUCUCCCGGCUCAACCGGGAGGGUGCGCGGAAAACUGGCGGGCUAGAGUGCGGGAUGGGAGAGUAGAAUUCCUGGUGUAGCGGUGAAAUGCGUAGAUAUCAGGAGGAAUACCGGUGGUGUAGACGGCUCUCUGGACCGCAACUGACGCUGAAACACGAAAGCGUGGGUAGCAAACAGGAUUAGAUACCCCCGUAGUCC
RNAcentral lists this ribosomal RNA (758 nucleotides) under uncultured bacterium. Its description in RNAcentral is "bacterial SSU rRNA". It matches the Rfam family "Bacterial small subunit ribosomal RNA", at positions 8 to 796 of the family's 1533-position model. The record is from RNAcentral.